UGGCGUAGGCUGCAUAUUUCGAGCAAGCCAUGAAUAUUCAAUAUUCUGCCCGAAAGCAUUAUACUUCAGUGACCAUCUUGAUAGGUCAGGCUUAUCCUCCAAAAUCUUUACAGUUGAAAUAAAAGGCAUCCAUUCAGGAAUGGCCUCACGAUCAGAAUAGCACUUAUAAGCAACUGAAAUGGGCACAUCUACUUCCAUUUUAACUGUGACAUCUUGCCAUUCCAUGACAGGAGAUAGCGGUCUAAUCCUGAUGGAAGAAGGAUAAGAGAUCCUCCGGGAGGAUCUAGAAAUGCUGGAGUUGAACCGGUAUGUGCUGAAGAAGGAGGAGGAGGAUGCACUAAUUGACUUUCUUCUGCCAUGAAGCGAAAAAAUGAGCUGCUUGUGAUUGAGUCUGAGUAUGUGAGCGGAGGAGGAGGCGGAAGCAGAAGUUGCAGUGGCGGACAUGGUAGUUGAAGCAGGAAUGGCGGUGAUUGCAGACAUUUGGCGGAGAGCGAAGGACGAAAA
RNAcentral lists this unclassified non-coding RNA (504 nucleotides) under Hevea brasiliensis (rubber tree). Lineage: Eukaryota; Viridiplantae; Streptophyta; Magnoliopsida; Malpighiales; Euphorbiaceae. The record is from RNAcentral.